Molecule: ribosomal RNA, 810 nt
Filed under: uncultured Actinomycetes bacterium
Lineage: Bacteria; Bacillati; Actinomycetota; Actinomycetes
Description: bacterial SSU rRNA
Rfam family: Bacterial small subunit ribosomal RNA
Source: RNAcentral
CGAACGCUGGCGGCGUGCUUAACACAUGCAAGUCGAACGGAAUCCAUGGUGUAGCAAUACACCGGAAGAUUUAGUGGCGAACGGGUGAGGAUCACGUGAGAAACCUGCCCCAGACUUUGGGAUAACAAUUGGAAACGAUUGCUAAUACCGAAUGACGUCGGAGAACCGCAUGGUUCACUGACGAAAGGAAAUCCGGUUUGGGAGGGUCUCGCGGCCUAUCAGCUUGUUGGUGGGGUAAUGGCCUACCAAGGCAACGACGGGUAGCUGGUCUGAGAGGAUGAUCAGCCACACUGGGACUGAGACACGGCCCAGACUCCUACGGGAGGCAGCAGUGGGGAAUCUUGCGCAAUGGGCGAAAGCCUGACGCAGCAACGCCGCGUGCGGGAUGAAGGCCUUCGGGCUGUAAACCGCUUUCAGCAGGAACGAAAAUGACGGUACCUGCAGAAGAAGGAGCGGCCAACUACGUGCCAGCAGCCGCGGUGACACGUAGGCUCCAAGCGUUGUCCGGAUUUAUUGGGCGUAAAGAGCUCGUAGGCGGUUUAGUAAGUCGGGUGUUAAAACUCUGGGCUCAACCCGGAGAGGCCAUCCGAUACUGCUGUGACUUGAGUUCAGGAGGGGAGCGGGGAAUUCCUAGUGUAGCGGUGAAAUGCGCAGAUAUUAGGAGGAACACCGGUGGCGAAGGCGCCGCUCUGGACUGAAACUGACGCUGAGGAGCGAAAGCAUGGGUAGCAAACAGGAUUAGAUACCCUGGUAGUCCAUGCCGUAAACGGUGGGCACUAGGUGUGGGUUCCAACUAACGGGAUCCGCGCC